GCGAGAGUGGCGGAAAUGGUAGACGCACUGGACUUAGGAUCCAGCGGGUUUGCACCUAUGCGAGUUCGACUCUCGCCUCUCGCACCA
RNAcentral lists this transfer RNA (87 nucleotides) under Deltaproteobacteria bacterium. RNAcentral's name for it is "tRNA-Leu". It matches the Rfam family "tRNA". From Rfam's summary of the family: Transfer RNA (tRNA) molecules are approximately 80 nucleotides in length. The record is from RNAcentral. Lineage: Bacteria; Pseudomonadati; Myxococcota; Myxococcia.